UAAUGGGAGACUCCUCUCUCUCUCUCUCUCUCUCUAAUAAUCUCUCUUUCUCUAAUAAUCUCUCUCUUAUCCCGAGAAGUACUCUUCCGCUUCUGAUUGUUUCUCUUCUUCCUUCUCUCUCCAAUCUUCUGCAAAAAUGACGAAUAGCGUCUUCAAGCAAGAGCAUGACUUCGAGAAGAGGCGUGCUGAGGCUGCAAGAAUUAGGGAUAAAUACCCAGAUAGAAUUCCUGUUAUUGUUGAGAAGGCUGAGAGAAGUGACAUUCCCAACAUUGAUAAGAAAAAGUA
Long non-coding RNA from Morus notabilis, 285 nucleotides. RefSeq lists it as uncharacterized. The record is from RefSeq and is a predicted model, not a curated record. NCBI's taxonomy places the organism in Eukaryota, Viridiplantae, Streptophyta, Magnoliopsida, Rosales, Moraceae. The transcript is spliced from 4 exons.